GCCAGGCGUGGUGGUGGGCGCCUGUAAUCCCAGCUACUCAGGAGGCUGAGGCAGGAGAAUUGCUUGUACCCAGGAGGCAGAGGUUGCGGUGAGCUGAAAUGGCGCCAUUGCAUUCCAGCCUGGGUGACACAGCAAGACUCUGUCUCAA
Molecule: unclassified non-coding RNA, 148 nt
Organism: Papio anubis (olive baboon)
Lineage: Eukaryota; Metazoa; Chordata; Mammalia; Primates; Cercopithecidae
Rfam family: Metazoan signal recognition particle RNA
About the family: The signal recognition particle (SRP) is a universally conserved ribonucleoprotein. It is involved in the co-translational targeting of proteins to membranes. The eukaryotic SRP consists of a 300-nucleotide 7S RNA and six proteins: SRPs 72, 68, 54, 19, 14, and 9.
Source: Ensembl